UAGAAAUGCAAAGCCAUGUUCAUGAGAUAAGGAGAAGAUCAGCCUGAUUCAGUGGGGAACUGAAGUUAUGAAGCUUCAAAUUAGGUGUUUAGACAGGUGGUGACAGAUUGUGAAGAGCUUGAACAUCUGGCUGAAAUGUUUGGACUGUCGCGUGGAGAAGGGGAAAGGCUUAGGAACCGGGCGAAGGUGAGACCCCAAUCUUUUCCUGCCUUUGGACUCAGCCUCAGACUGGAAUUUGAACCCAUUGGCUCUCCUGGGUAUCCAGCUUGCUGACUGCAGAUCUUGGGACUUCUCAGCCUCCAUAAUUGUAGAGCUCAGCCAUGUGGCUGCACCUAAAUCCAGAGAAGCAGGAAAACUCAAGCCCUGGCUGGGCAGCCACUUCCUAGUGACAAUGGUACACCGGGAAAGAAGAACACAGAUUUUUCUGUGAGCAGUGAGCUGACUCUGCCACAGGAAGUAUGGGC
RNAcentral lists this long non-coding RNA (464 nucleotides) under Equus caballus (horse). RNAcentral describes it as "lncRNA (ENSECAG00000058631.1)". Lineage: Eukaryota; Metazoa; Chordata; Mammalia; Perissodactyla; Equidae. The record is from RNAcentral.